RNAcentral lists this ribosomal RNA (804 nucleotides) under Trametes villosa. RNAcentral's name for it is "partial large subunit ribosomal RNA". It matches the Rfam family "Eukaryotic large subunit ribosomal RNA", at positions 91 to 882 of the family's 3401-position model. The record is from RNAcentral. Lineage: Eukaryota; Fungi; Basidiomycota; Agaricomycetes; Polyporales; Polyporaceae.
GAGUGAAGCGGGAAAAGCUCAAAUUUAAAAUCUGGCGGUCUUUGGCCGUCCGAGUUGUAGUCUGGAGAAGCGUCUUCCGCGCUGGACCGUGUACAAGUCUCUUGGAACAGAGCGUCAUAGAGGGUGAGAAUCCCGUCUUUGACACGGACUACCAGUGCUUUGUGAUGCGCUCUCAAAGAGUCGCGUUGUUUGGGAAUGCAGCGCAAAAUGGGAGGUGAAUUCCUUCUAAAGCUAAAUAUUGGCGAGAGACCGAUAGCGAACAAGUACCGUGAGGGAAAGAUGAAAAGCACUUUGGAAAGAGAGUUAAACAGUACGUGAAAUUGCUGAAAGGGAAACGCUUGAAGUCAGUCGCGUCGUCCGGAACUCAGCCUUGCUUCGGCUUGGUGCACUUUCCGGUUGACGGGCCAGCAUCGAUUUUGACCGCUGGAAAAGGGCUGGAGGAAUGUGGCACCUUCGGGUGUGUUAUAGCCUUCAGUCGCAUACAGCGGUUGGGAUCGAGGAACGCAGCGCGCCUUAUGGCUGGGGUUCGCCCACAUUCGCGCUUAGGAUGCUGGCAUAAUGGCUUUAAACGACCCGUCUUGAAACACGGACCAAGGAGUCUAACAUGCCUGCGAGUGUUUGGGUGGAAAACCCGAGCGCGUAAUGAAAGUGAAAGUUGAGACCUCUGUCGUGGAGGGCAUCGACGCCCGGACCUGAAGUUUUCUGACGGAUCCGCGGUAGAGCAUGUAUGUUGGGACCCGAAAGAUGGUGAACUAUGCCUGAAUAGGGUGAAGCCAGAGGAAACUCUGGUGGAGGCUCGUAGCG